RNAcentral lists this long non-coding RNA (590 nucleotides) under Phasianus colchicus (ring-necked pheasant). RNAcentral's name for it is "lncRNA (ENSPCLG00000004089.1)". The record is from RNAcentral. Lineage: Eukaryota; Metazoa; Chordata; Aves; Galliformes; Phasianidae.
CCCCUAUCCAGCAUGUGAGCUGUGUCCAUUACUCUGCUAACAUUUACAGGACUUUGCACAACAUUAGAAUCGCUUACUUUGGAUAUUCACUGUCAGAACCUUAUUAAAGUGCUUGUGCCAAGAUAUAGACCAGCAGCUGCAUACAGUGAUGUUUUCUGUUGAUCCGCAGUGGCAGCUGGUGCAAGGUCAGCACACCUGAACCCCACCCUACAGAGCUACCCGUUGAGAGAAGGAAAGUUCUGAUAUCUAUGCCUGCAGCAUCAUUGGGAUGAAAGAUGAAAGAAAAUUGUGUGGGCAGGCUGUAUUUGUGUUGCUGAGGGGAGGAGAGAACACAGGGACAACUCAGGACAAAAGAGUCAAAGAGAGAGCCACUUUGCAGAGUGAAUGGAGCUGGGUGAAUCACAUGGUCUAUGGCAAGCUCUGGAGUGCUUAGCAAAUGAAGUCAUCCAGACAGGAUUAAACAGAAUUAUGUCUCUGUAGCAGAGCCUUGUUUAUGGAAAAUGAGUUUGGGCGAUUGGCUUAGCUUAAGCACAUACUGUUCUUUUUUACCUAGUCACAUAAGGCUUUCUUCAAUAAAGUAGUCCUGUCCC